GACGAACGCUGGCGGCGUGCUUAACACAUGCAAGUCGAACAGAAAGGCCCUGCUUUUGUGGGGUGCUCGAGUGGCGAACGGGUGAGUAGCACGUGAGUAACCUGCCCUUGACUUUGGGAUAACUUCAGGAAACUGGGGCUAAUACCGGAUAGGAGCUCCUGCUGCAUGGUGGGGGUUGGAAAGUUUCGGCGGUUGGGGAUGGACUCGCGGCUUAUCAGCUUGUUGGUGGGGUAGUGGCUUACCAAGGCUUUGACGGGUAGCCGGCCUGAGAGGGUGACCGGCCACAUUGGGACUGAGAUACGGCCCAGACUCCUACGGGAGGCAGCAGUGGGGAAUAUUGCACAAUGGGCGGAAGCCUGAUGCAGCAACGCCGCGUGCGGGAUGACGGCCUUCGGGUUGUAAACCGCUUUCGCCUGUGACGAAGCGUGAGUGACGGUAAUGGGUAAAGAAGCACCGGCUAACUACGUG
This 468-nucleotide ribosomal RNA is filed under the name uncultured bacterium. RNAcentral describes it as "partial 16S ribosomal RNA". It matches the Rfam family "Bacterial small subunit ribosomal RNA", at positions 28 to 507 of the family's 1533-position model. The record is from RNAcentral.